Transfer RNA from Tilletiaria anomala, 102 nucleotides. It matches the Rfam family "tRNA". Rfam says of the family: Transfer RNA (tRNA) molecules are approximately 80 nucleotides in length. Their secondary structure includes four short double-helical elements and three loops (D, anti-codon, and T loops). Lineage: Eukaryota; Fungi; Basidiomycota; Exobasidiomycetes; Georgefischeriales; Tilletiariaceae. The record is from Rfam.
CCGUGGAUGGCGUAGCGGUCAUCGCAUCGGAUUCAAGAGUUAUUACGCUUUUGCAUGUGCAAUGCGCCCCGACACUCGUGGGUUCAAAUCCCACUUCACGGA